CAGAAGGAGGAGGAGCUCCAUCUGUACUCUCUUCAGGCAGUUGUGUCUCUCAGUGCUUGUUGGGUUCACACCUAUUAAAUAAGCUGGCUGGUCUUCACCCUCCAAGAGAAGUCAACUCAUGGGAGGUGGCAGGGUACAGGCAUUGGCCCAAGCUGUGGCUGGGGCCAGGCUGUGGUGUCGGCAGGCAAGCAGCAGACAAGACCAUCUCUGCAAGUGCAGCACAGCCUCAGCCUAGGGCAACGGGAGUGUGAGGCCAAAGCUGUGAGCAGAGGCAUAGAUUUACCUUUGGAGUCCAACCCUUCUGACCAUCCAGAGGCAAGCACAAUAUUCCUGAGAAAAUCUCAAAUAGAUGUGUGACCUUGGUGAUAUAUUAACAUAUCAAGCAAAGAGAUGCAGAUAGAUCUUUGGGCAUAUUUGAUGAACGGUUACACCCAUUUACAUGAGAAGACGUUUUGGAGGAAUAUUUUAAAUAUGAUCCUUAACACAAAUUGGUUUUCAGUUUUGUUUGUAUUCUGUUUAAAGCCAUAAGGCUAACAGCUGAAUUUGCAAUUGUAAGUUUGAAUGUAUGGAAUCACAGAGGUGGAACCUGAUGGCUGAAUAGCAGUCUCUGCCAAUUGUGCUCCCUUCAGGAAUAGCAAAUUUAGCAACUAUCUAAAUAAAAAAACCACCUGCAUAGGAACUAAAAAUCAGGAAUGAGUUGGAAAGGGAAUUCUUGAAGCUAAUUAAUUACAAUAUCAGCGUUACUGGCAGUGUUUAUAGCAGAUUCUACUUCAAUCUUCGAACCAUGGCACAUGACAACAGCCUGUAUUCGCUAGUUUAUCUUCUUGACAGAGAAAGAGCAUGGAAGCUGGAGGCUUUUUCAAGGAUGGAACAAGACAAAGUUUUCUAUAGUGCUG
Molecule: long non-coding RNA, 896 nt
Filed under: Homo sapiens (human)
Lineage: Eukaryota; Metazoa; Chordata; Mammalia; Primates; Hominidae
Description: HSALNT0357407
Source: RNAcentral